RNAcentral lists this ribosomal RNA (1372 nucleotides) under uncultured bacterium. Its description in RNAcentral is "bacterial SSU rRNA". It matches the Rfam family "Bacterial small subunit ribosomal RNA", at positions 28 to 1381 of the family's 1533-position model. The record is from RNAcentral.
GAUGAACGCUGGCGGCGUGCCUAAUACAUGCAAGUCGAGCGAACGGACGAGAAGCUUGCUUCUCUGAUGUUAGCGGCGGACGGGUGAGUAACACGUGGAUAACCUACCUAUAAGACUGGGAUAACUUCGGGAAACCGGAGCUAAUACCGGAUAAUAUUUUGAACCGCAUGGUUCAAAAGUGAAAGACGGUCUUGCUGUCACUUAUAGAUGGAUCCGCGCUGCAUUAGCUAGUUGGUAAGGUAACGGCUUACCAAGGCAACGAUGCAUAGCCGACCUGAGAGGGUGAUCGGCCACACUGGAACUGAGACACGGUCCAGACUCCUACGGGAGGCAGCAGUAGGGAAUCUUCCGCAAUGGGCGAAAGCCUGACGGAGCAACGCCGCGUGAGUGAUGAAGGUCUUCGGAUCGUAAAACUCUGUUAUUAGGGAAGAACAUAUGUGUAAGUAACUGUGCACAUCUUGACGGUACCUAAUCAGAAAGCCACGGCUAACUACGUGCCAGCAGCCGCGGUAAUACGUAGGUGGCAAGCGUUAUCCGGAAUUAUUGGGCGUAAAGCGCGCGUAGGCGGUUUUUUAAGUCUGAUGUGAAAGCCCACGGCUCAACCGUGGAGGGUCAUUGGAAACUGGAAAACUUGAGUGCAGAAGAGGAAAGUGGAAUUCCAUGUGUAGCGGUGAAAUGCGCAGAGAUAUGGAGGAACACCAGUGGCGAAGGCGACUUUCUGGUCUGUAACUGACGCUGAUGUGCGAAAGCGUGGGGAUCAAACAGGAUUAGAUACCCUGGUAGUCCACGCCGUAAACGAUGAGUGCUAAGUGUUAGGGGGGUUCCGCCCCUUAGUGCUGCAGCUAACGCAUUAAGCACUCCGCCUGGGGAGUACGACCGCAAGGUUGAAACUCAAAGGAAUUGACGGGGACCCGCACAAGCGGUGGAGCAUGUGGUUUAAUUCGAAGCGACGCGAAGAACCUUACCAAAUCUUGACAUCCUUUGACAACUCUAGAGAUAGAGCCUUCCCCUUCGGGGGACAAAGUGACAGGUGGUGCAUGGUUGUCGUCAGCUCGUGUCGUGAGAUGUUGGGUUAAGUCCCGCAACGAGCGCAACCCUUAAGCUUAGUUGCCAUCAUUAAGUUGGGCACUCUAAGUUGACUGCCGGUGACAAACCGGAGGAAGGUGGGGAUGACGUCAAAUCAUCAUGCCCCUUAUGAUUUGGGCUACACACGUGCUACAAUGGACAAUACAAAGGGCAGCGAAACCGCGAGGUCAAGCAAAUCCCAUAAAGUUGUUCUCAGUUCGGAUUGUAGUCUGCAACUCGACUACAUGAAGCUGGAAUCGCUAGUAAUCGUAGAUCAGCAUGCUACGGUGAAUACGUUCCCGGGUCU